Molecule: long non-coding RNA, 766 nt
Organism: Meriones unguiculatus (Mongolian gerbil)
Lineage: Eukaryota; Metazoa; Chordata; Mammalia; Rodentia; Muridae
Exons: 3
Source: RefSeq, a predicted model, not a curated record
UGUGCGCGCCGCACAUGGUGUCAAAGCAUCUGAAUCCAUGCUGUUGCUGGUCAAGUGGAGCUGGGGCUCUAGGAACAGGCUCCUAUGCACCGCAUGACCUUGUUCCCAACAGCAGCUCUGACAGUGUGGAAACAACUACUCGACGCCUCCACAACACACCUGUAGCUGCCACAACUGUGGGAAAGCACACAGAAUCAGCAAUCACGCACCAAUCAGGUUGAAGUCAGGAGGUGAAGAACCUGAAGCAAGGCGCAGCCCUGAUGAAAUGCUGACAACCAGAGCCGAGUGUGGGUGCUCCUGCUUUAAAUACGAGACUAUUAAACGGCAUAGGGUCGUAUCCUUCUGCAAGGACACAGCUCUGGAGAAAACAGAAGUUCUGAGUUGCGUUCAACAUCCUCUGAACAGAAACUUUCCGAGAGGACCAAAAGAGCAGCCCUGCACUGCAAGGUGACUUUCGAGCUGCCUCGGAGGAACCCAGUGCCUUCUAGGCCUUCCAGGGCUGCAUUUUAACCAAGAGCCCCAAAGAGGUAGCUCCAAGCAAGGCUAAGGCCACGGGAGUCCCCGUGCCCCCACGCUACCUGAGCACCAGACCCAAAGAACGAAAGCAGAAUCUCCAGAGAAACUUCUCACUUCCUGUCACUCACUGCUGAGGGAGGCUGGACUGGCUCCUCCGCUCACGUUUUCAGAGAAGCUGUAAACACAACCUUUCAGCUUGCCAGCGGGCCACUGGGGCGGGUUGGGGGAGGGGGGGCUGGUGGCGGGGCUU